GAUGAAGAACGUAGCGAAAUGCGAUAAGUAGUGUGAAUUGCAGAAUUCAGUGAAUCAUCGAAUCUUUGAACGCACAUUGCGCCUUCUAGGAUUCUGGGAGGCAUGCCUGUUUGAGCGUCAUUAAACCUCUCUCAAGUAUGAUUACUUGGAUGUGAAGGAAGAGUACCUUAAACUUAAGGAGUGUUCUCCUUUGAAAUUGAUUAGCAGAUGGUAAUGUUAUUAAAUCCCUGAUGUUGUAAGAAAUAACAGUGGUUUUGUAGACUAUUAUCUAGCUUUAAAUUAUAAUUUUUAUUAUGGUUGACCUCAAAUCAGGUAAGGAUACCCGCUGAACUUAAGCAUAUCAAUAAGCGGAGGA
RNAcentral lists this unclassified non-coding RNA (355 nucleotides) under soil metagenome. Its description in RNAcentral is "partial contains 5.8S ribosomal RNA, internal transcribed spacer 2, and large subunit ribosomal RNA". The stretch from base 1 to 120 matches the Rfam family "5.8S ribosomal RNA", at positions 35 to 154 of the family's 154-position model. The record is from RNAcentral.